RNAcentral lists this ribosomal RNA (511 nucleotides) under uncultured bacterium. RNAcentral's name for it is "bacterial SSU rRNA". It matches the Rfam family "Bacterial small subunit ribosomal RNA", at positions 33 to 518 of the family's 1533-position model. The record is from RNAcentral.
CGACGCUGGCGGCGUGCCUAAUACAUGCAAGUCGAGCGGACCUCUUCAACUCUUCGGAGUUGAAGAGGUUAGCGGCGGACGGGUGAGUAACACGUGGGUAACCUGCCCUUAAGACUGGGAUAACAUUCGGAAACGGAUGCUAAUACCGGAUAUGCAAUAGCGUCGCAUGAAGCUAUUGGGAAAGGCGGAGCAAUCUGCCACUUAAGGAUGGACCCGCGGUGCAUUAGCUAGUUGGUGAGGUAAAGGCUCACCAAGGCGACGAUGCAUAGCCGACCUGAGAGGGUGAUCGGCCACACUGGGACUGAGACACGGCCCAGACUCCUACGGGAGGCAGCAGUAGGGAAUCUUCCGCAAUGGACGCAAGUCUGACGGAGCAACGCCGCGUGAGUGAUGAAGGUUUUUUCCGGAUCGUAAAGCUCUGUUGCCAGGGAAGAAUGCUUGUGAGAGUAACUGCUCACAAGGUGACGGUACCUGAGAAGAAAGCCCCGGCUAACUACGUGCCAGCCGCAGC